AUACCUUUCUCGGCUUUUUGGCUAAGAUCAAGUGUAGUAUCUGUUCUUAACAGUUUAAUAUCUUAUAUGUGAACCAUGUGCUCACAACGAUAUUAAAUUUAUUUUUUGUGGGGAGGGUCCACCAUGGCUUGCCACUAGGGCCCUUAGGUGUCGCCUGGGUGUUGCACUACAGCCCAGGCCGGCGCACUCCAA
Non-coding RNA from Triticum aestivum (bread wheat), 192 nucleotides. NCBI's taxonomy places the organism in Eukaryota, Viridiplantae, Streptophyta, Magnoliopsida, Poales, Poaceae. The record is from Rfam.